Molecule: long non-coding RNA, 209 nt
Filed under: Elaeis guineensis (African oil palm)
Lineage: Eukaryota; Viridiplantae; Streptophyta; Magnoliopsida; Arecales; Arecaceae
Description: long non-coding RNA (EGUI_LNC032778)
Source: RNAcentral
AAGAAUAAAAAAAAGAGGAUAAACAAAAGAAAAAGAAAAUAAUUUCUAUUUUUGAUUUAUUUAUUCUUUUGGCUUGUCUAUGCUACUCCAGUCGGAGUAAGCGUUCGUGAUCCUUAGUUGCAUAAUCUACAAUUACUGAUCUAUUCUUUUUCAAAGAGAAAUUUGGUUAUAGUAACAAGCUCAGCAACGGCAAAAAUGAGAACACCGGA